CAUUAAGCAAAUUAGUGGCAGUGUUGGUUUAUUUACAUUCCUGUUCUUACAAAUGAUUAAUAGUGGAAAGGAGAGGAUGCUCUUGGAUAUGCAGAUUGCUCUGAGUUUCCUUACACAUUGUAAUCCUUUGCCAGUACUUUCAUGCAAAUUUGUUACGCAACGUGGACAUCCACUUUCUCAUGAGAAAAGGAGGUACCACCACGGGCUUACAGUAACCAAGGAAGGACCCUUUGACAGCGAGCUGCUGCCGCUGAGAGGAGGUCCUGCGGAGGAGAGAAGCUGAGGGCUGCAGCGGUGCGCAACGUAGGGCAGCCGAGGGCUCACUGCCCCCUCUGAGGUUCAAAUUAAUGCAGCUGAUACUGAUUCAACGAAACGGGAUCUGAUGAGCUACAGCAGAAACGGGUCGGCGUUGUUCCCCUGCUCGUUCUGUCGACUGCCGGCAGGUGGCUGUCGGGCUCAGGGAAUGGUUUCAGCUGCAGUCCGGUAGUGCUGCCGGGCGAGGCGUGAUACCGGCACCGCUGUGACUUAAAUUCCUGCAAGGAGACUAACUACUGACCCACAGUACUGACCAUGAUCACAUUUUAUGGCAGCUUUUGCACAACUGUAAAUGCAUUUUCCUGAUCGUGAUUCAGUGAAAUGUCAAAUAUUUUAACGAGCCUAAAAAUAUGUGGUGCUGAUCCUUCACUCCUCAUUUUUCUGCAGCUUGAAUUAAUACCGUGACAGACACUCUGUGUUUCAGUAUUGGUACAGACAUUAAUCUGUUAUGCUCUGCUUGAAAGCAGCUGGCUGAUCAAUGCAGGUGGAAGUUGCUAUGCAUGCCUUGGGUUAUUAUCUUGGCACUAAUAAUCUUUAUGCCUGUAGAUAAUGUAGUGUUUGUGAAAUAGCUUAUUGAUCAGAACUGACCAUUCCUAUUCCCCUAACUCCUCCUGUUAGACACUUACCUUCUUUUGAUUCUUUUAAUAUAGGGAAAUGCACGUGGAGUUGGUGGGAGAAUGGAGAAGACUUACAUUAGGUGGAGAUCUCAAGGUAGCGCAGCCAUGGUGGUGGCAGUAUACAGGGAGAUAAUUCAAGCAUUAACAAGUUCAAAGUAAUAUUUUAAGAUCAUGACUUACAGGCAUUCCCUGAUGUUCUUAUAAUAAUUGUCCAGCCUUCAGCUUGGGCUGCAGUUGUUUGUUAUCAAAAGAAACUGCCGAAUUACCACGAGUCUCUCUUCACUGAAUAAAAUCAGAGGAUGGUUGUGGUUGGAGCAUUGCCAGUUUAUGAUGAUUGACACCACUUUCCCUUUGCUACAUAUGGUGUGGAAAGAUGUGCUCUUAACUGGCAAGAAGAGCGGACACAGGAUUUCAUAAAAGCAGACUGAAGUUCUUUUUCUCCUGCUUACAGCUGGUGUGCGUGUGAUCAGGGAGCACAGCACGGCACUGGCCCAGGCACGCAGUGCUUAGAAGCGAUUUGUUCUUCCUGAGCACUGUGCACCACCAUGGACGUACCGAGCAGUUCUGUCCUGCAGUGCUGCAGGGCCGGAGCCCUCAGUGCAGCCAGCGCAGUGUUUUCAGGUGAGCACAACUUGCAGGCGGUUUGGGUUACCUUAUGUGUGCCACGGGCGUGCCCGGGUGUGGGGUGAUGUGGGCACCGCCUCAGAACACCCUGGAAGAGGAGAAACUGCUUUCCUGUGCGAGCAGUUGUGGCGGCUAUCAAUCGGUCCUCGCCUUCCUUCCAACAGCCAUCUUGGUGGUAAAAAUUUAUCCGAGGAGGAUUUAUCACCCCUCCUUUUCCAGGUGCCGUCGUGCAACCGUGUGAAUCAUUGACCCUCUCCGUGGCGGAUGGGAAGCGCGGGGCUGCCCUCACGGGGACAGCG
Gallus gallus (chicken) is the source of this 1855-nucleotide long non-coding RNA. The record is from Ensembl. Lineage: Eukaryota; Metazoa; Chordata; Aves; Galliformes; Phasianidae.